Molecule: ribosomal RNA, 425 nt
Filed under: uncultured bacterium
Lineage: Bacteria
Description: bacterial SSU rRNA
Rfam family: Bacterial small subunit ribosomal RNA
Source: RNAcentral
UGGGGAAUUUUGGACAAUGGGCGCAAGCCUGAUCCAGCCAUGCCGCGUGAGUGAAGAAGGCCUUCGGGUUGUAAAGCUCUUUCGGUGAAGACGAAACGGUUAGCGUUAAUAGCGCUGACUAAUGACGGUACUCACAGAAGAAGCACCGGCUAACUACGUGCCAGCAGCCGCGGUAAUACGUAGGUGGCAAGCGUUGUCCGGAUUUAUUGGGCGUAAAGCGCGCGCAGGCGGUCUGAUUAGUCCGGGGUGAAAUCUCACGGCUCAACCGUGAGCGGUCCCCGGAUACUGUCAGUCUUGAGGGGUCUAGAGGAGAGCGGAAUUCCCGGUGUAGUGGUGGAAUGCGUAGAUAUCGGGAAGAACACCAGUGGCGAAAGCGGCUCUCUGGGGAUCACCUGACGCUGAGGCGCGAAAGCGUGGGGAGCGAA